Molecule: ribosomal RNA, 406 nt
Filed under: uncultured bacterium
Lineage: Bacteria
Description: partial 16S ribosomal RNA
Rfam family: Bacterial small subunit ribosomal RNA
Source: RNAcentral
GACGAACGCUGGCGGCGUGCUUAACACAUGCAAGUCGAACGAGUGGCGAACGGGUGAGUAAUACGUGAGUAACCUGCCCUCUUUUUGGGAUAAGCCUUGGAAACGGGGUCUAAUACCGAAUAAAGGGGGAUGGGCUCGCGGCCUAUCAGCUGGUUGGUGGGGUGAUGGCCUACCAAGGCGGUGACGGGUAGCCGGCCUGAGGGGGUGACAGGCAAAAUUGGGACUGGGACACGGCCCAGACUCCUACAGGAGGCAGCAGUGGGGGAUAAUGCACAAUGGGCGAAAGCCUGAUGCAGCGACGUGGCGUGGGGGAUGAAGGCUUUCGGGUUGUAAACCUCUUUCGCGAACGAAAGGGUAGGUGGAGAAGAAGCGCCGGCUAACUACGUGCCAGCAGCCGCGGUAAUUC